This 1384-nucleotide ribosomal RNA is filed under the name Triticum aestivum (bread wheat). Its description in RNAcentral is "partial small subunit ribosomal RNA". Lineage: Eukaryota; Viridiplantae; Streptophyta; Magnoliopsida; Poales; Poaceae. The record is from RNAcentral.
UCCUCUGGCCUGCGGGGAAAGCGGCGGCUCCACUCAGAUCCAGGGGCUCGCGCGGUACGGCUCCCCCUCGCUCGUUCGGCGGUGACUGGGCAGCCCUCGUCCGGCAGUUGCAGCAGCAGGUGGCUGCUGCUCCCUGAUGGCCUGGGUCGUCGUCGCCUCCUCGUGGUGAGGCGGGCUGCUCGUUGCCGCCGUUCUCCCCGGCUGCGGGCUGCCUCCCCUUCGUCGGAUCUGAUGUCUCCUGCUGGCCGUGCCAGCUUGUUUCCUCGGCACCCCCAUGGCCCGGCUCUUGCCUAGAUGUUGGGCUUCGGCGGUGGGUGGCCAAUCUCCUCGGGAUGCAGUGUGGAGGAUGCAAAUGUCGGGUAAAAGCUCAAUCGACGGCGACACCUACGGGUGCCGUUUCCUUCCUGGAGGCGUCGAGUUGGCACUGCCGUCCUCUCCCCCUUGCUCUUUGAUCCAGAGAGAAAUCUCGGACCCGGGUUCCCCGAGUCCGGCGGUGUCGACGUCUCCACGUCAAUUCCUCGUUGGGGGCAUCGUCUUGGAUUGUUCUGCUCUGGGCGGAUCCGCCCCUUGCUGCUCCAUCUUCACCUCGGUUAGGAUCCUAACAAGCCUUUGUCCUAGGACACUCUGUUGGCGCUUGCCUGGACGCCUGGGGUGGCCUAGACGACUUGCUACCCUUCGACCUCGGCGGCAGUACAUCGGUACUGUGCCCUCCGGUCUCGGUGGCGCGUUGUCUUUCGGCUUCGCCGGCGGCACACCGGUGCCGCCGCACCAACUCGGCUAUCCGACGCCCUUCGUUCGUGCCAUUGACGCUUCUUGGCAUGCUCCUACUUCGAUUAUCCUUAUGGACAGGGCUAUGCAUCAUGGUGGCCCAGACGACGCUUGCGUGGAUAUCCUGGCGUGGCCUUGGCGGCAAGCUGCCCUUCGACCUCGGCGACGAUACACCGGUGUCGUGCCCUUCGGUCUCGGUGGAGCGCCGUCUUGCGGCUUCGACGGUGGCACACCGGUGUCACCGCACGAACUCGGCUAUGCGACGCCCUUCGUUCGUGCCAAUGAUGUUCCUCUGUGAGCUGCCGGUUUUGGUGCCUUUUUUCUCCCUAGGGCUUCUUGUGGUUCUUUGUUGAUGGUGGAACGAGCUGCUCGGCGGAGCUUGCUCCUGAGGUGUUGGUUACCAGGGUUUUCGGUUUGGUCUCUGUGCCAACCUUCCCCUCUGUUUACUUCGUUCUUUCUCUAGUUUUUGGCUCUCCUCCUGGGCGCCGUCCUCUGUAAUUUUCCUUUGCACUUUGUGUGCGCCUUCAUGUAUUUGUACUGACUGCCAAGUCACUCCUCGAGUUGGAAUAUAACAAGCGGUGGGGUUUGACCCCCCCGUCAAUCUCGAAAAAAAAAU